Non-coding RNA from Solanum lycopersicum (tomato), 252 nucleotides. The record is from RefSeq and is a predicted model, not a curated record. NCBI's taxonomy places the organism in Eukaryota, Viridiplantae, Streptophyta, Magnoliopsida, Solanales, Solanaceae.
UUGAUAUUUGGUGACAUAUUCAAGGUUAAGCCAUAUGCUUCCGUUUUUAAGAAGGCCAUCAGAAUCCAUUCUUACAUUAGUCAAAGGCCAUUGUUGUUAAACUUGAUGAGAAAAUUCACCAGAGAAAGAAAUUUGGUGAAACCGGCCAAGACAAGAUUUGCAACGGCAUUCUUAACUUUGAGAGCUAUGUACAUUCAAAGAAAAAACUUGAAAACUUUAGUCCUCUCAACCGAAUGGAAUUCAAGCAAAUUU